Molecule: ribosomal RNA, 625 nt
Filed under: uncultured Aquificales bacterium
Lineage: Bacteria; Pseudomonadati; Aquificota; Aquificia; Aquificales
Description: bacterial SSU rRNA
Rfam family: Bacterial small subunit ribosomal RNA
Source: RNAcentral
GAGCGAACCGGAUUAGAUACCCGGGUAGUCCCGGCAGUAAACGGUGGGCGCUAGGUGUGGGGAGUCUCGACCCUCCCCGUGCCGCAGGGAAACCAAUAAGCGCCCCGCCUGGGGAGUACGGGCGCAAGCCUGAAACUCAAACCAAUUGACGGGGGCCCGCACAAGCGGCGGAGCAUGUGGCUUAAUUCGAUGCUACCCGAAGAACCUUACCAGGGCUUGACAUGCUGGCUUAAGCCCGCCCGAAAGGGUAGGGUGGGGCGGUUUCCACCGCCCAGCCAGCACAGGUGGUGCACGGCUGUCGUCAGCUCGUGCCGUGAGGUGUCCGGUUAAGUCCGGCAACGAGCGCAACCCCCGCCGCCAGUUGCCAGCGGGUAAUGCCGGGCACUCUGGCGGGACCGCCCGCGUAAGCGGGAGGAAGGUGGGGAUGACGUCAAGUCCGCGUGCCCCUGAAGUCCUGGGCUGCACACAUGCUACAAUGCCCGCUACAAAGGGUUGCGAACCCGCAAGGGGGAGCGAAUCCCAAAAAAGCGGGCUCAGUUCGGAUCGCAGGCUGCAACUCGCCUGCGUGAAGCCGGAGUCGCUAGUAACCGCCGGUCACAAUACGGCGGUGAUACGUUCCCGGGCU